UCAUGUUCCCGUUUGACAUGUUAUAGAACAUAAUUAGAUGAACAGCCCGCGUCAUUACGUCACCGCGCCACGCCGUCCGACGUCCCUCCAGAAUUUCACUUAUCUACAUGCAGUUCGUCUUCGUUAUGGGACCGUAUACAGUUUUGGGUGUUUUUAUGUAAUUUUUUUACGAACGCUUUAAGUGCAGUUAAUUAUUUCUCAUGCUGUACGUGCUAAUAGACAACUGCUUGAAGCGGUGGGUGUGUCCCAAAUCGCGUAGUUACUGUCUAUAUAGUAGCCGAGAUACAUGUAUUUUUCCCCACUACAGGCCUAUAGUAGGAAAGUAUGCGAUUUGGGACACAGCCGAACUCUCUUGUUCGCCGUAAAACGUAAAACUGCCGUGUGUGAUCGUGUCCUGUCGCAAAAUGCGGUGAAAACUCCCACACGACGCUCAUAAUGUGAUUAAGGUGUUUACAUGUCACUACUACACGUCCAUAAUGUGACUAAAACAGGAAUACUCCACCUGUCUUAAUUCAAUUAUGACCUUAAUUAGAUUAAGGUACGGUACUCUGUGACGCCUGCAGCCCAGAAUCCGAGGCAGAGAAGGAGAUCGAGGAAAACCUCUGCAGAAGUUCGUUUGGCUUCAGCUUGGCUCCUCCUCCCUGGAGGGGACAGACCUGUGAAUGGAGUCUCAAGGGUGGAAUCGAGUCCUAUGUUGGGAAGGCACAGAGCAAGAACAACAGGUGGCAAUGCAGCAGAACACUGUCUGGCUGACAGACGCUGAUAACUGCUCAUGUCAGGCACUGGAUGGGCGGAGCUUAGGUCCACUUCUGGCAUUGGGGAAAAUGGAGGAUGGACGCAUUGUUCUCUUCCAACUCGUGAAAUGGCCUCACCAUGAGAGAGAGCUGAAAAAGUUCAUCAGGAAACUGUGCAAGAAGCCAUGCUGAAGUUCCUACUGAUAAAUGCGAAAAAUUGUUUGUGGUGUUGUCCGUUAGCAGCACCCUAAAUUUUAGUCAUGGUCAGUAUUUUUGAAAAACAUUUUUCUUCAACACAUUUUGCUUAAGUUGAAAGGUGAGGCCUGGUAGUUUGAUGUCGGGUGAAAAGAAAAUUGGUUAUAUAAGCUUUAAGGAAUUAAAUAAGUUUAUUAGAAGGCAGAUUUACACCCAAUUUACUGUCAGCAGGAGUGGAGCUAGCAUUUACUUGAUAUUUACUAGCAAACAUGGUGAAUGGUUUUAAUUAUAGAUGAUUGUAAUUAGCCUAAUGUUAACUAGCUUCCUAGUGCUUUGAUUUACUUACGAAACACAAUACUUACCCUGUGCUUAGCUUUCUUGUUAGCUAACUUAGCUAGUCACUAAGCUCCAGAAGUUACUGCUGGAGAGAACAUUAGCUGAGCUAACUACACAGCAAUGUUGACACAUGUGCACUUUGGAAUUUUUGUGUGUUUAACUGUGUUAAUAGCUGCACUAUAUUAAUUAAGCUAAUUUCAUCUGGACACUAUUUUUAGAAAGUGUUUAAUCAAAGAGUUGGAUUUUUAAAGUGCAAUCAAUUAUGACAUUUUCUUUAUUUUUACAUGCCAGAUUAAAUAAAAUUUUUUAUUAGGUUUUAAUUUUAGGUGGUCUUUCUAUUUUGUUAUGAUUUAUUCACAAUCUGAUGCACUGUUGGUCUUGAUGUAAAACAAGUUUAAUGCAUUUCCUCAUGUGAUUUUUCUGACUAUGUGAAGUUUUAUGCUAACAUGAGUACUCGAUUAAAGGGAGAAUGUUUUCCUCA
Ictalurus punctatus (channel catfish) is the source of this 1746-nucleotide RNA transcript. RefSeq lists it as uncharacterized. NCBI's taxonomy places the organism in Eukaryota, Metazoa, Chordata, Actinopteri, Siluriformes, Ictaluridae. The record is from RefSeq and is a predicted model, not a curated record. The transcript has 3 exons.